GUCUACAGCCAUGCUACCCUGAAUAAGCCUGAUCCCGUCUGAUCUUGGAAGCUAAACGGGAUCGGGCCUGGUUAGGACUUGGAUGGGAGGCCACCUAGGAAGACCAGGUGCUGUAGGGG
RNAcentral lists this ribosomal RNA (119 nucleotides) under Pteropus alecto (black flying fox). Lineage: Eukaryota; Metazoa; Chordata; Mammalia; Chiroptera; Pteropodidae. The record is from RNAcentral.